GGAGUUCCGGUAAAGAAACGGCCGCUAAGUCCUAUUCCCGUCUCUUACAAUUUAUUGAACCCAAAUAAAACUUGACAUAAAACUUUUUCACAUGUAAUGGCAAAACCACUACAUCUCAGUCGCCGGUUCUCUUUUACCGCUCUCCUCCGCCCCAACUCCGUCAUUAACUCCGCCGCAACACCACCGCACUUCCCCACAACAAGUCUUUACAGGCCCACCUUCAAAUCUCUCAAACUCAUCUCUAUUUCCCGCCAAUAUUCAACCACUGCAACUCCAUACCCACUCCAAUAUGACAUGAUCAUUUCCCGACCGGUAAACACACCACCUCGAAAACCUCGCAGUAAAUUGCCGACCCAUUUGACAAAAACCCGACCCAGCAACUCAGAAUCGGAUUCUGAGCUAGGGUUUAAUGAUUGGGUGGACAAGAAGUUAGCUUCAAAUCAAGAACCCGGGUCGGGUCAAAAUGAUGUGAUGGAUAAGUCUAAGAGGAAGUAUUAUAAUAAGAAGAUGAAAAGAUUGUAUGGGUCUGAUUCAGAAGAUGAGAAGAGUGGCCAAAAGGGCGAUGAUUUUGUCGAAUUGAAACCGGAAGUUGUGGACUUCCAUAGAUUGCAUAAGAGGGAAGAGGAGUUGUAUUUCUAUGAUGCAUUUGCGUAUCCGUGGGAGAAAGAGAAGCAUUAUAAGAUGGUGUAUCAGUUGGAGAAAAAGUAUUUUCCUGAUCAGUGUUUUGAUAAGGCAUUUCUUGACCCCGGGGAUACGAAUAAUAGUAAGGUGAGGAGUAAGAAAGGAAAGGAGGGUGUAAAGAAGGAAGAUAAGGAGAAGGAAAAGGGAUUGGUGUUUUUCGAUGAGGAGAGUAGUAACGUGGUUGAGAAUGUGAAUGAUAAGGAAGUGGAAAAGAAUGUAGAUGUUACAGAGAAGAAGGUUGAGGAGUUCUUUAACACAUUGAAGAAAGUUCCAAGAAAGGAUAAUGAGGUUGCUAGUGUGGAACCGUUUAUCUCUUCGAGAAGCAGUGGACUUCCUCCUAAAUGGGAUAGUCCUACCGGCACUGUGGUUUUGGUUAAUAAACCAAAAGGAUGGACGUCAUUUACAGUUUGUGGAAAGCUACGCCGUCUGGUGAAAGUUAAAAAGGUUGGGCAUGCUGGGACUCUCGAUCCUAUGGCAACUGGUUUACUGAUUGUCUGUGUUGGUAAAGCUACGAAGGUUGUAGACAGUUAUCAGGGUAUGAUUAAAGGUUAUAGCGGAGUCUUUCGUUUAGGGGAAGCAACCUCAACACUUGAUGCUGAUUCACCGGUUAUCCAACGUGAACCAUGGGAACAUGUCAAGGAUGAGGACUUAAAGAAAACUGCAGCAUCAUUCUGUGGAGAGAUAUGGCAAGUCCCUCCGAUGUUUUCUGCAAUAAAAGUUGGAGGGGAGAAGAUGUAUGAGAAAGCACGGAGAGGUGAAAGGAUUGAACUUGCAGCACGAAGGAUUUCAAUUUUGCAGUUUGACGUGGAGCGAAGUUUAGAAGACAGGCAGAAUGUAAUUUUUAAGGUGACAUGCUCAAAAGGAACAUAUGUGCGAUCCCUUUGUGCAGAUUUUGCGAAGACUCUUGGCAGUUGUGCUCAUCUAACUGCUCUGAGAAGGGAUUCGAUUGGACAAUAUACAGCUAAUGAUGCCUGGGAAUUUAAAGAAUUAGAAGAAGCUAUCACGAAGGAAUAUUUGUAGACUUUAUUCUUUUCUGAUGCUGUCAUGGAAUUUUUUCUCGCAAAACCUCUGAAAAGGCUUCAAUCAGGACCAUCCGGGAACUGCAGCUUUUAAGUGUAAGAGACUUCAAAUGGGAAUUCUUCAUGUUCAGGCUGAACAUGAACGUGACCUGAAUGCUUUGAAAGUGAAGAACCAGAAAAAGAGUACUUGUAGCAUGUCCAUGUUGCUACUGAUGUUCACUUGGUUUAUGAUUAGUGCGUAUUUGAUGUUUACAAAUAGUAGAAUAGACAUAUAGAGUGCUGAACGUAUAUGCUAUUUAUUUCACUGUAUUAUUAUGAUCCUAAACACUGUAAUGAAUUGGUACAUUUUAACAAGAUAAGAAAAGACUUCAUUAUUGUUUUUA
Molecule: RNA transcript, 2083 nt
Organism: Daucus carota subsp. sativus
Lineage: Eukaryota; Viridiplantae; Streptophyta; Magnoliopsida; Apiales; Apiaceae
Exons: 10
Source: RefSeq, a predicted model, not a curated record